GGCGGCGGCGCACGCGGGGCUCCCAGAGGCAGGUGCCCAAGGUCGCGGCCGGCCGCGGCCGGAUUUCCCACCGGCCGAGCUGAGGUCACCGGCUUGGGCAGAGGCGACUCAGGUGCCUCGGGGGCAGUGGCUCGCCCGAGCGUAUGGUGAACCCGACCUGGCGGCGGCCCGAGCGGCCGUGCCCAGUCUCCGUACAGCCCUCGUAGGCGUGCUUUGGUCUCUUGUCCCCCGUGGUUCUUCCUGAAGCCCAGGGAGGAAGGGCAGGCACCGCGGGGCCCACAGCUGGCCUCUGGCGCCUCUGGACCCCGAAGUCAGCUCCCGUGAGGUUUUAUCACCAAAGCGGCCGAGCGUCCAGCGCCCACACCUACCACGGAAAAAGAAACGGAACCAGAGCAGGGAGUGACUUUCCCAAGGUCAUCCAGUCAGCCAGCCCCUUCCCCGCAGUCUUCGAAGCGCAGCUCCCUGGGUGCACCUGCCCCGGCACCUACCAUCCCAGAACGCCUCCCAGUGCUCAAAUGCCGGAGCACCCGUCGGCUGGUAUUAGUAAGUAAUCUCCGAGAGCGGAGAGUCCGGAACCUUGGCGUCCCCCUCAGUCCUGCCCACCGGACUGGAAAGGUUAGGGAAAUCCCAUCGACACUGAGCGGGGAAGUAGAGAUGGCAGGGACCGUCUACACUGUUGAUUUGAUUGAGUGUGGGACCGUCUACACUGUUGAUUUGAUGGAGUGUGCUUUAACACGGGCCACUGCUGAUAGAGGGACAGUGUCCUCGAGUUGGAGCACGGAGCCCCCUCGGGCUGCGGGAGGAGCAUGGACUUGGAGGGCCUCCAGGCCCUGCCCUUCACCUGCUGUGUGAUGGUGCUUAAGUUUCCUCACCUGCAGACCUGCAGAAUGGGGUAAUAGUGGGUUGUCGGAGAGUUCCUGUGAUCUGUCUAAAGUGCUGAGAACAGGGCCGGGCACGCUCAGUUGAGUGCUGGCUGCUGCUGCUGUUUGUAGUUGUUGCUUAUACCCUAGCCGGAGACCGCGCAGAACGCGACCUUGAUACCUGAGGACUGCUUCCGUUCUCAGAGCCCCUGGUUCUCAGGCUCUUUUCCAGAGAUUGCUGGUGACCAAAACUUAAAUCCAUCUGAUACUAAGAGAGCAAUUUUGGACUGUUCUUUCAGGGACUGUCAUUCAAAUGCCUUCAGGGAACAGGGGGAUGACUCUGUGUGUGUGUGUGUGUGUGUGACAACAGCAAAUAGGGAGAUGCCUUCCAAUUCAGACGCUUAAAAACAUGAAUACUUUAUGAGCAUCCCAGACCUUUUGGGGCAGGAGGGAGACCUGGGUUCAGGAGGGUAAAAUUGAGUGGUUGGGUUGAAGAGGGAACCCAGGUACCCUAACUCCCUCUGAACCAUCCCUUCCCAGGGCCCUCCUUCAAGUGAUCUUUGGAAGGAAUUCCCAGAGUCAGAAGGGCCUUGGGAGGAGGAAAGGGCCAGGUGGGCGGGCCACCCUCCCUGUAGAGGGAAGACCAGCGAUGCGGAGCUGCUCAGUUACUCAGGCCUCUGGACACUGGUGUGGUGCCGCCACCACCACUCCCGCUGAGGAACCAAAGCAAGGAUCGGAAGGAGGUGGUAGUUACUCACAGUGCCCGAUGCUUACUGAAUGCCUGCAGACGAUGCAGCACUAUCCUAAGUGCUUUACAUCGCCUUAUUUUAAGAGCCUCCCUGGUUCAAGAAAUCCUUAAUAACUCUGGGAAAGCACAUGGACUGGAAAAGUCACAGGUAUCCAGAAGAGACACUUCCUUAUCUUCCUGUUGAGCCUCUCAGAAUUUUUUCAAAUUGAAAUGUAAAUAUUCAUGUUGCAAAGAAAAAACUAGGCACUUCCAUGGUGGGCUUGAAAACCACUGACUUAAACCAAAAGACAAGCCAGCAAGCUAUGG
Non-coding RNA from Oryctolagus cuniculus (rabbit), 1914 nucleotides. NCBI's taxonomy places the organism in Eukaryota, Metazoa, Chordata, Mammalia, Lagomorpha, Leporidae. The record is from RefSeq and is a predicted model, not a curated record.